GACGAACGCUGGCGGCGUGCCUAAUACAUGCAAGUUGAGCGCUGAAGGUUGGUACUUGUACCGACUGGAUGAGCAGCGAACGGGUGAGUAACGCGUGGGGAAUCUGCCUUUGAGCGGGGGACAACAUUUGGAAACGAAUGCUAAUACCGCAUAAAAACUUUAAACACAAGUUUUAAGUUUGAAAGAUGCAAUUGCAUCACUCAAAGAUGAUCCCGCGUUGUAUUAGCUAGUUGGUGAGGUAAAGGCUCACCAAGGCGAUGAUACAUAGCCGACCUGAGAGGGUGGACGGCCACAUUGGGACUGGGACACGGCCCAAACUCCUACGGGAGGCAGCAGUAGGGAAUCUUCGGCAAUGGAGGAAAGUCUGACCGAGCAACGCCGCGUGAGUGAAGAAGGUUUUCGGAUCGGAAAACUCUGUUGGUAGAGAAGAACGUUGGUGAGAGUGGAAAGCUCAUCAAGUGACGGUAACUACCCAGAAAGGGACGGCUAACUACGUG
Molecule: ribosomal RNA, 497 nt
Filed under: uncultured bacterium
Lineage: Bacteria
Description: partial 16S ribosomal RNA
Rfam family: Bacterial small subunit ribosomal RNA
Source: RNAcentral